GAUGAACGCUGGCGGCGUGCCUAAUACAUGCAAGUCGAGCGAACAGACGAGGAGCUUGCUCCUCUGACGUUAGCGGCGGACGGGUGAGUAACACGUGGAUAACCUACCUAUAAGACUGGGAUAACUUCGGGAAACCGGAGCUAAUACCGGAUAAUCUAUUGAACCGCAUGGUUCAAUAGUGAAAGACGGUUUUGCUGUCACUUAUAGCUGGAUCCGCGCCGCAUUAGCUAGUUGGUAAGGUAACGGCUUACCAAGGCGAAGAUGCGUAGCCGACCUGAGAGGGUGAUCGGCCACACUGGAACUGAGACACGGUCCAGACUCCUACGGGAGGCAGCAGUAGGGAAUCUUCCGCAAUGGGCGAAAGCCUGACGGAGCAACGCCGCGUGAGUGAUGAAGGUCUUCGGAUCGUAAAACUCUGUUAUUAGGGAAGAACAAAUGUGUAAGUAACUAUGCACGUCUUGACGGUACCUAAUCAGAAAGCCACGGCUAACUACGUG
RNAcentral lists this ribosomal RNA (497 nucleotides) under uncultured bacterium. Its description in RNAcentral is "partial 16S ribosomal RNA". It matches the Rfam family "Bacterial small subunit ribosomal RNA", at positions 28 to 507 of the family's 1533-position model. The record is from RNAcentral.